CACAUGGUUACCUAGCUAUUCAAAAUCUUACGGUGUUGUUGGCUACAGUAGGUCUAUUAUAGGAAUAGAGUUUGCACCUAGAUGGUAUCUGUCGAUCCUCGUAGAUAGAGAGAGGUCCUAUAAAUUUAUGAAAUUGAGUCUUAAAAUCCAUGGCCAUAGUAGGUGAAUGAUGGAAAGGAGUUUCCAUAAGAUUUCAUAUAGACUCUAGUCAAUUGAAUCUGACAUAUGACGAACGAAC
Molecule: long non-coding RNA, 238 nt
Filed under: Elaeis guineensis (African oil palm)
Lineage: Eukaryota; Viridiplantae; Streptophyta; Magnoliopsida; Arecales; Arecaceae
Description: long non-coding RNA (EGUI_LNC043471)
Source: RNAcentral